UCCUGCAUCUGAAAGUAACCAGGGGUUAUAUAUGUACUGAUCAUUGCCAGUGCAGGGAGAGGAGUUACUGAAAGAAGUUUUUCCUAUCUUUGGAGGGUCCAUCCUGUCCCUUCUGAAACCUGAUGUGUUCAUACU
Molecule: small nucleolar RNA, 135 nt
Organism: Talpa occidentalis (Iberian mole)
Lineage: Eukaryota; Metazoa; Chordata; Mammalia; Eulipotyphla; Talpidae
Product: small nucleolar RNA SNORA71
Exons: 1
Source: RefSeq, a predicted model, not a curated record